This is a long non-coding RNA of Trifolium pratense (red clover), 3321 nucleotides long. RefSeq lists it as uncharacterized. NCBI's taxonomy places the organism in Eukaryota, Viridiplantae, Streptophyta, Magnoliopsida, Fabales, Fabaceae. The transcript is spliced from 13 exons. The record is from RefSeq and is a predicted model, not a curated record.
AAGGUUUGGUAGACUUUGAAACCAUCUAUAUGUCAUCCAUGCAAAACCUCACAUGACAAGUGUGUGGGUUGUGAUGAUGAGGAGGUAACUAGAAGCUUCCACAUACUAGCAAUAUGUUACACAUGCAUUGGGCCAAGUGACAUAUGUAUUUCUCUUUUCCCAAAUUUGUUUCAUUUGUAAAGUUUUUUUUCUCUCUCUUCUCUCUCUCUCUCGUACGCUCCCUCUCUCUUUCUCACCAUCUCACACUUUCAUCUCUCCUCCGUGUCUCAUCUCCUCCACCACCGCAUCCACCACAGCCUCCACCACCACCUACAAAUCAAUCUCCGAAUCAGAACGUCCUCUCCGCUUCCAGUGAUGCCGCCGUCAUCAGAAUCAUGUUAUUCUCCCUCUCAGGUUGUUGAAGUUUCAACUUCCAAAACUGGAAAACAUCAUGUUAAGUAUUGCUUUGUUGGUAUUGACAUCUUCACUGGACAAAAACUUGAAAAUAUUGUUCCUUCUACUCAUAACUGUGAUGUAUGAUUUUCAUUUUAAUAUGAGAUUAUCUUUUGGGUUUGGAUUAUAUUUCUAAUUAAUUGAUUAACUAAUGUGUGUUUGUUUGUUGUUACAACAGGUUCCUCGUGUCAAGGUUUCUUCUGAUAUGUAUAUGUUUUUGUUUGUCUUCUUCUGAUUAAUUAAAAAUUGAAUUUUUUUGGGGACAAUUUGUGUAUAUGUUGUGAUUUUGAAGUUUAAAACAUGAUUCCUAGCCAUAACAAGGUUUCUUCGUCACUUGAUUAUUAAAAAUUGAAAAAUUUUCUGCCACUUUUGUGUUGCAGGUUUCUGUGUUAGGGUUUCUCUUUCUCAUUAUGAAUGAAUCCCAAUUAAUUAUUAUUGUUGUUUUGAAUGAUUUUGAUAUUAAUUUUGAUUUAUGUGAUUGCAGCCGUCACCGACGCCUUUCCAGGAGGUGCUUGAGUGUAUGUUUGAUUACAUUAAUAGGUUGUUUAACAUGGUGCGACCUAGGAAGCUGUUGUUUAUGGCUAUUGAUGGUGUUGCAUCGAGGGCUAAAAUGAACUAGCAACGGUCUAGGCGGUUUAGGGCAGCUGAAGAUGCAUCUAAUGCGAGUGGGGACAAGGCUAUGAUUUUUUGUUUUGUGGAGUUUACUGAACCCAAAUGUGCUCUCACCGCCAUCGACGCUCUGCAAGGUAAAUGGUUUUUUUUUUUGUAUAUAUAACUGAGUUUGAUGUCUACCCACAAGGUCAAUAUAACUGAGUUUGAUGCUUGGUACAUUAUAGGGAUUUGUCUGAAAACUAGGAAAUAUAGACCUCUGAAUUAUGAGAUCUCAUUCUAUGAUUGAUGUGGAUCAAAAUAUAGAACACUAACACCAGAACUAAAGGGUGGAUUUAUUUUAUAACAUUUGAUGAGAUUGUGUUUUUUGCAGAUAAAGGGUGGAUUUUGAUCUAGCUUGAAUGUUUUGAUCAUCUGUUAUAAGAGAUAGUUCUCUUCUUGCAUCUCUUUAUAUCUCCAAUUUGGUUUUUAGAUUUUCAGUUCAGAUUUUUUGAUUUGCAGAUUACUUCUUAUUGGCUACUGAUUUGAUUUACAGGUUUGAUUGAAAAACAUGAAAUAACAUGUAUAGAGUAUUUAUACCGGCGAGGAAAAGAGAGUUCCGACCGAGAGAGUUGCAAUGGCAGUUCGCGGUGACACCGCCGUGCUUGGCGAUGGAGGUGAUGAAGCCUUUUUCUCCUUCUUUCCUCAGCAAUCAUAGCUGCUUAUUAUCAUUCAGCUGAAGCAGCUAUGUCUAAAGGAUCUUUUGAAGACAAUUUCAACCCUUUACCUAUUGACAUUUUUGGUGUAUUGCAAAUUUUGGUUUAAGAUGUACUCUCUUGCUGAUCCAUCUGGACGGAAAACAGCAUUGGUGGCCAUGAGGAACUCCAUAUAUCUAAUCCCUUUGGGUAUUUUGGCAUAUGAUUGGGGCGUGACUUCUGGAUGGUUUUGUCUCGAGUCCACUGCACUUGCACUUGCAAUAAGCGCCGCAGCGUUUUCAUUUUAUAGAGACCGUACUAAGGAAAGAGCUAGGAGAAUGUUUCAUGCCAGUCUUCUUUAUCUCCCUGUUUUUGGUAUCUCUCCUUAGACAAUGAUACAGUCAUUUAUUCGCUCUAUCCAUCACCAGCAAAUACAUUUUGCAUAUCAUCCCUUUUCUUUCACUCAAAAUGGCUAACUCAGGAAUAUAUGUGAAGAUGACUAAGAUUUCUGAGAUUAUUGGCCGAAAAAUUGAUUUUCAAUUGAGAGUUCGAGUAAUUAAUCUCUGGUCUACACCAGAUCGUGCUAAUCCGAGAGAAGAAGGGGCUCUCCACAUGAUUUUCCUUGAUAAAGAUUGUGCUGCAGGUUGAGAAAUUAGAUCUUAUAACUGCUGCUAUGGGACAUGCAUUGGCCACAGAAGGAGGAUUCUGCACCAGAAGUGCGAGAGUUAUAGAUCAUCAAGUUCUUAUAAAAUUGGUACUGCAUCAUCUGUAAAUGCAGCUUACAUAUUUUCCAGAAACAAUCUUUCUCGGCCUGCUAUACAGCUUCCUUGUGCAAGCAAAGCUAUUGUAGCUUGAAAGUUUUGAAUCAUCUGUUAUAAGAGAUUACUUCUUAUUGGCUACUAGAGAUCGAAUCAGUAAACCUUUAUUUAUGGUUUAAUUGAUUCAAUCCAACCGCUUGAACCAAAUGACUUAAUAAACAAGUAAUUAAUAAAAAUGAAAACAAUGAACCAGUUGAACCAACCAAAUUUCAACUCAGUUCAAUCCGGCAAUCCUCUUCUGUGAUGGUCAUUGUGGCAAUUGUAUGUUCCUAUUUGCAGGAUAAAUUGAGGCACCAGGUUGUUUUUGACACACUCAGGGGUGAUUGGAUGAUUGCCUUUGGAAAUUGGGAAUUUGACCCAAUGAAGCUUAGUAAUCCAUUCCCUCACAAUAACAGAAGUUCAGUUCACAUUUGGCAGGGCUAUGAAGAUAAAGUAGUACCCUCUCAAAUUUAAAGAUUCAUUUCAGAGAAGCUACCAUGGAUACAAUAUCAUGAAGUUGUAGAUGGUGGUCAUUUGAUUGUACAUUAUAGUGGCUUAGGCGAGGCGAUUUUGAAGGCACUUUUACUUGGGGAAGAAGAUAUUUCAUAUAAACCUAGAUCAUCAAAAUCUGUAUCUUAAUUUUGCCAUGACUUUUAUCAUAAUCCAAUGUUUAUUAUUGGUUAAUUUUUUGGAGAAGUGCCAGAUAUUUAAAUCACAUUAUUUGGUUGAAAGGAGGAAACUAUCAUAUACAAUCAUGUAUACUGUCUUUAUUCAUUUUUGAAAGAAAUGUUAGAAACAUGUUUUUUUUU